GAUCAAAGUGUAGUAUCUGUUCUUAUCAGCUUAAUAUCUGAUACGUGGCUCAUUGAGUCACUACGAUAUUAAACUGAUUUUUGAAUUCGGACUAUGUGAACGGGGUUUACUCCGCCAUAGUCACGGGUUGGCC
RNAcentral lists this small nuclear RNA (133 nucleotides) under Sipuncula sp. 105045. Its description in RNAcentral is "partial U2 small nuclear RNA". It matches the Rfam family "U2 spliceosomal RNA", at positions 25 to 156 of the family's 192-position model. From Rfam's summary of the family: U2 is a small nuclear RNA (snRNA) component of the spliceosome (involved in pre-mRNA splicing). Complementary binding between U2 snRNA (in an area lying towards the 5' end but 3' to hairpin I) and the branchpoint sequence (BPS) of the intron results the bulging out of an unpaired adenosine, on the BPS, which initiates a nucleophilic attack at the intronic 5' splice site, thus starting the first of two transesterification reactions that mediate splicing. The record is from RNAcentral. Lineage: Eukaryota; Metazoa; Annelida; Sipuncula.